Molecule: ribosomal RNA, 460 nt
Filed under: uncultured bacterium
Lineage: Bacteria
Description: partial 16S ribosomal RNA
Rfam family: Bacterial small subunit ribosomal RNA
Source: RNAcentral
CCUACGGGAGGCAGCAGUGAGGAAUAUUGGUCAAUGGACGAGAGUCUGAACCAGCCAAGUAGCGUGAAGGAUGACUGCCCUAUGGGUUGUAAACUUCUUUUAUAAAGGAAUAAAACGAGGCACGUGUGCCUUUUUGCAUGUACUUUAUGAAUAAGGAUCGGCUAACUCCGUGCCAGCAGCCGCGGUAAUACGGAGGAUCCGAGCGUUAUCCGGAUUUAUUGGGUUUAAAGGGAGCGUAGAUGGGUUGUUAAGUCAGUUGUGAAAGUUUGCGGUUCAACCGUAAAAUUGCAAUUGAGACUGGCAGUCUUGAGUACAGUUGAGGUAGGCGGAAUGCGUGGUGUAGCGGUGAAAUGCUUAGAUAUCACGAAGAACCCCGAUUGCGAAGGCAGCUUACUAAACUGUGACUGACAUUGAUGCUCGAAAGUGUGGGUAUCGAACAGGAUUAGAUACCCUUGUAGUC